CGGGACGGGUGAGUAAUGUCUGGGAAACUGCCCGAUGGAGGGGGAUAACUACUGGAAACGGUAGCUAAUACCGCAUAACGUCGCAAGACCAAAGAGGGGACCUUAGGGCCUCUUGCCAUCGGAUGUGCCCAGAUGGGAUUAGCUAGUAGGUGGGGUAACGGCUCACCUAGGCGACGAUCCCUAGCUGGUCUGAGAGGAUGAUCAGCCACACUGGGACUGAGACACGGCCCAG
This 232-nucleotide ribosomal RNA is filed under the name uncultured bacterium. Its description in RNAcentral is "partial 16S ribosomal RNA". It matches the Rfam family "Bacterial small subunit ribosomal RNA", at positions 100 to 334 of the family's 1533-position model. The record is from RNAcentral.